RNAcentral lists this long non-coding RNA (1369 nucleotides) under Heterocephalus glaber (naked mole-rat). RNAcentral describes it as "lncRNA (ENSHGLG00100043807.1)". The record is from RNAcentral. Lineage: Eukaryota; Metazoa; Chordata; Mammalia; Rodentia; Bathyergidae.
UCUGGUAUUUUUAAAGAGUGAGCAAUCAUAUAAAAGGAAAUAUGGUCAUAACUGAUUGAAGUAAUAAAAUCCCCAAACUAAAUAACAUCUCAUAAUUCAUCACACAGCAUAUAUUAGAUUUCAUUACAUCAGUAUAUAGCUUAGCAGUAAAUUCUCCUGAUAGCCAUAAACCUCUGAGGUGUUGUCAUCCUGAAAAAUGAAGGGGAGGAAGCUGGUGGGGGUACAGAAGGGAUAAAUCUUCCGCUGGUGUGGCACACCAUCAGGUGGAAAAGUUGUAGUGUGUCGCCACCUAAUGGCAUAACUCCUGUCCUUGUUCUAAUACAGGGACUGUUUUUAAAGAGCUGUCUCAUUCACCUUGUCAUUGUAUUCUUCUCUGAUGCUACAGUUCCAAAACUGAGGGCUGCCCAUCGUGUGUUAACAGAUCUACUCUUUAUCUACCAGGCUGUCAAGCAUUUGGUUAUGACACUUUUUAUGUUCACCUAAUUUUUAAAUUCCAAGUACUUCGGUAACUUUCAAAGCCACACACAAGAUGUCUAUAUAUAUAUAUAUAUAUUUUUUUGGUACUGGGGAUAGAACUCGGAAACUUGUGCUUGUGAGGCAGGCACCAGAACCACUGAGCUAAAUCCCCAGCCCUAAGAUGUCUAUAUUUUAAAAACACCAUACUGAUUGUGAAUUUGGGAUGCCUAUUAUGGCUAUAGGAACUCCGGGCUUUGGCUCAGUUUCUAUUCUAUUUUUGGAUCUUUUUAGCAUGUCAGAAUUAACACAUAGCUGAUGCAUUAAAAGUGGGUCCUCAAACAGCUACAUGAAAUUAUCACAGUCUACAUUUUGGAUUUUACUAAGGUUCUAGAAUUUUAAAAUGGCCAAAGGUGCAGCUAGUGAAGAUUUCUUAAUUAGCAUUUUGGUACCAUACAUAAUCACACAAAGUAGAUGAUGAGAACUUAGUUCAGGAAUGUUAUUAAAUAUUUCUGAGAGACGUGGAAUUUGGAACUGGGGGAGAAGGGCUGAGGCCCCACUGUGCUUUACUCUGCUACACCUUGACAACACAUAGACUAAGUGAUUCUAUGAAGUGCACUAGAACAGUGAACAUAAGCCAGGUAGCUCUACUUUGUAGAUGGAAUUGCAAAGUACAGUUAAAAAGAAAAUAAUAAGGCCUGGGGAUUUAGCUCAGUGGUUCUGCCCCCUGCUUUGCAAGCACAAGGUCCCGAGUUCAAUCCCCGUACCAAAAAAAAAAAAAAAAAACACAAAAAACUAGAACAUGAGCUACUUCUCAAUAAAGCACUCUAUCUUCCUUCAAGGUCUACAAAAAGCAUAUAUUCAAACCCUAGACCAAUCUCAAGUUUUGAACAAAAGAUACCAAACACUUUAAAGC